UUAAGUUCAGCGGGUAUUCCUACCUGAUCCGAGGUCAACCUGAGAAGGAUGAGGUCGCGGCCAGCGCCGGCCUGGCGCCCAGAGCGAGGUGUGUUACUACGCUCGGGACCAGGACGGGACCGCCGUUGGCUUUCGGGGCCUGCGGGCGCAGGGCCCCAACACCAGGCAGAGCCUGAGGGUGGAAAUGACGCUCGGACAGG
Molecule: unclassified non-coding RNA, 200 nt
Filed under: Chaetosphaeria sp.
Lineage: Eukaryota; Fungi; Ascomycota; Sordariomycetes; Chaetosphaeriales; Chaetosphaeriaceae
Description: partial internal transcribed spacer 2
Source: RNAcentral